RNAcentral lists this ribosomal RNA (232 nucleotides) under uncultured fungus. RNAcentral's name for it is "partial 18S ribosomal RNA". It matches the Rfam family "Eukaryotic small subunit ribosomal RNA", at positions 40 to 274 of the family's 1831-position model. Lineage: Eukaryota; Fungi. The record is from RNAcentral.
AAGAUUAAGCCAUGCAUGUCUAAGUAUAAACAAAUCUAUACUGUGAAACUGCGAAUGGCUCAUUAAAUCAGUUAUAGUUUAUUUGAUAAUACUUUACUACAUGGUAUAACUGUGGUAAUUCUAGAGCUAAUACAUGCUUAAAAUCUCGACCCUUUGGAAGAGAUGUAUUUAUUAGAUAAAAAUCAAUGUCUUCGGACUCUUUGAUGAUUCAUAAUAACUUUUCGAAUCGCAU